Callithrix jacchus (white-tufted-ear marmoset) is the source of this 38-nucleotide small nuclear RNA. Its record names the gene U7. It matches the Rfam family "U7 small nuclear RNA". From Rfam's summary of the family: Animal histone pre-mRNAs are spliced by a different mechanism than nuclear pre-mRNAs and self-splicing introns. Lineage: Eukaryota; Metazoa; Chordata; Mammalia; Primates; Cebidae. The record is from Ensembl.
UAGUGUUACAGCUCUUUUAGAAUUUGUCUAAAAGCAAU